AUGCAGCUGCCAUGCGAUCAAGGGGACAAAGAUCUGUUCAACGCCUCAACAACGGUGACGCUGGAAGAUGGGAAGACGGCGAGCUUCUGGGACAGCUCCUGGACUGACGCAAGAACUCUGAAAAUGGAGUUCCCAGAGCUCCACAAGCACUCAAGAAGAAAGAAUAGGACCGUCCAUGCUGCACUACUAAAUGACACUUGGAUUGUCGAUCUGGCUCACGGGAACACGCAACAGCUAUGGCCUGAGGUGAUCCGCCUGAACAGAUGGCUCAUCUCGAAGAACCUGAGCCUAAACGAUCAGCUGCAAGACACAAUUAGAUGGAAGCAUACAUUAUGUUCACCGGGAGAGCUAGGCGGGGGAAUAUGUGCAUAG
This 372-nucleotide ribosomal RNA is filed under the name Triticum aestivum (bread wheat). Its description in RNAcentral is "partial small subunit ribosomal RNA". The record is from RNAcentral. Lineage: Eukaryota; Viridiplantae; Streptophyta; Magnoliopsida; Poales; Poaceae.